RNAcentral lists this ribosomal RNA (468 nucleotides) under uncultured bacterium. RNAcentral's name for it is "partial 16S ribosomal RNA". It matches the Rfam family "Bacterial small subunit ribosomal RNA", at positions 28 to 507 of the family's 1533-position model. The record is from RNAcentral.
GACGAACGCUGGCGGCGUGCUUAACACAUGCAAGUCGAACGGAAGGGCCCUGCUUUCGUGGGGUGACCGAGUGGCGAACGGGUGAGUAACAGGUGAGUAACCUGCUCUUGACUUUGGGAUAACUUCAGGAAACUGGGGCUAAUACAGGACAGGAGAUCAUGCUGCAUGGUGGGGGUUGGAACGUUUCGGCGGUUGGGGAUGGACUCGCGGAUUAUCGGCUUGUUGGUGGGGUAGUGGCUUACCAAGGCUUUGACGGGUACCCGGCCUGAGAGGGUGGCCGGCCACAUUGGUACUACGGUACGGCCCAGACUCCUACGGUGGGCAGCAGUGGGGAAUAUUGCACAGUGGGCGGAAGCCUGAUGCAGCAACGCCGCGUGCGGGAUGACGGCCUGCGGGUUGUAAACCGCUUUCGCCUGUGACGAAGCGUGAGUGACGGUAAUGGGUAAAGAAGCACCGGCUAACUACGUG